GUCGACGAUGACCACUUCGGUGGGGAUUAGUGGCGAACGGGUGAGUAACACGUGGGCAAUCUGCCCUUCACUCUGGGACAAGCCCUGGAAACGGGGUCUAAUACCGGAUACCACUACCGCAGGCAUCUGUGGUGGUUGAAAGCUCCGGCGGUGAAGGAUGAGCCCGCGGCCUAUCAGCUUGUUGGUGAGGUAAUGGCUCACCAAGGCGACGACGGGUAGCCGGCCUGAGAGGGCGACCGGCCACACUGGGACUGAGACACGGCCCAGACUCCUACGGGAGGCAGCAGUGGGGAAUAUUGCACAAUGGGCGAAAGCCUGAUGCAGCGACGCCGCGUGAGGGAUGACGGCCUUCGGGUUGUAAACCUCUUUCAGCAGGGAAGAAGCGAAAGUGACGGUACCUGCAGAAGAAGCGCCGGCUAACUACGUGCCAGCAGCCGCGGUAAUACGUAGGGCGCAAGCGUUGUCCGGAAUUAUUGGGCGUAAAGAGCUCGUAGGCGGCUUGUCACGUCGGGUGUGAAAGCCCGGGGCUUAACCCCGGGUCUGCAUUCGAUACGGGCUAGCUAGAGUGUGGUAG
RNAcentral lists this ribosomal RNA (574 nucleotides) under Streptomyces caeruleatus. Its description in RNAcentral is "bacterial SSU rRNA". It matches the Rfam family "Bacterial small subunit ribosomal RNA", at positions 61 to 654 of the family's 1533-position model. Lineage: Bacteria; Bacillati; Actinomycetota; Actinomycetes; Kitasatosporales; Streptomycetaceae. The record is from RNAcentral.